This 2356-nucleotide long non-coding RNA is filed under the name Gossypium barbadense (sea-island cotton). RNAcentral describes it as "long non-coding RNA (GBAR_LNC017631)". The record is from RNAcentral. Lineage: Eukaryota; Viridiplantae; Streptophyta; Magnoliopsida; Malvales; Malvaceae.
AUAAAACAAAACAUUAAAAGCCACCAUUUUAUGUUCAUCUUUCUUCACCGAAUGUAGAAAAGAAAAACAAGGUUUGAAAGCUUGAAACAUUCGGCCAUUUUGAAGCUUAAUUCAAGAUCAAGAAUUAAAGAAAUCGGAUUUGGAUCGGGGAAAUACAAAAGUGGUCGAGUAGCCGAUUUAACAGUCGACGACAUCCAAGGUAAGUCUAAUAGCAAUUUAAAUGUUAUUAAAUUGGAAUUUAUAUAAAUAUAUCUAUCAUACAUUUAGUAAGCUGGAACUAAAAGUAUAUAAAUUGAAUAAAACUUGGUGAUUUUUCUAUGUGAUAGCCGAACAUAGAAAUUAAUUUUGGGAGGUUGAUAUUCAUGGUAUAAAUUACAUGUAUAUUAGCUAAAGUAUGCUUUAAGUUCAAUGAUAUGAAACUAAUAGUAGAAUGUACAUGGAUAUGUAGUUCGAAUGUAAGAUUUAAUUUCUUGAGUUGAAUUUAAAGUUAUGAAUUAUAUAUAUAAAGUUUGAAUGUAUGAUACAAGUUCUUUGAUUCUUUGAGUUGAACUUAAUAUUAUGAAUUAUAUAUAUAUGCACAUAUGGUUCGAAUAUAUAUAUUUAAAGUUCUUGAGCUGUAUUUAAUGUAUGAAUUUUAUAUACAUAUGUGGUUCAAAUAUAGGUUACAAAGUUCUUGAGCUGAAUUUAAUGUAUGAAUUUUACUUACAUAUGUGGUUCGAAUGUUUGUUUGCUAUGGAGAAUUGAAUAUAAUUCAAUUCUUACGGAGAUACGGUUAUUGAGUAAGACUUAGGUAAACAUAAAGAAUUAUACGAAAGAUCAUCUUUGUAUAUGAGAUUAUUUCAGGCUUAAUGCCUAGCAGGCUUGAUGCCGGUGGAUUAUUUCAGGCUUAAUGCCUAGCAGGCUUGAUGCCGGUGGAUUAUUUCAGGCUUAAUGCCUAGCAGGCUUGAUGCCGGUGAAUUAUUUUAGACUUUAUGUCUAGCAGGCUUGAUGCCGGUGAAUUAAUUCCGACUUUAUGUCUAGCAGGCUUUGUGCCGGUGAAAUGAAUCGGGCUUUGUGCCUAGCAGGCUUUAUGCCGGUGUUUUAUAUAGGGCUCUAUGUUUUAUAAAUUUUAUAUGAGCAAUAGUAAAAGCAAAUAAAUGUGUUAAGAAAGUUAAAUUAUUCAGGUAUGUGUUAGCCAUUUGCUUAAUUGCUGAUGAGGUAAGUUGAUUAUUUUAAUUUGAUAAUAGUUUCAAAUGAAAUAUAGAGUAUGAGUUAAUCAUUUGAGUAUAAGCAUGUUUUAGCAUAAUGAUUUAUUGAAUAUUCGGCUUUGCUAAAUAUUUAUGUGUAUUUGGCCAUAUGGUUUGUUUAUAUGAAAAUACAAUGUGAUUUUUAUUAAAGUGUUAUAUGGUACAAAAUAUUAUGAUAUUUGGUUUAUUUUAACUUAAUGAUGGAAUAAGUAUUAAUAUAUAUAAAUGAAUUUUUGCUUAUGACUUACUAAGCUUUAAAUAGCUUACUGUGUGUAUGUUGUUCUUCGUUUUAUAGAUUUUUGGAAGUUGGUUACGAGCUCGGGGAUCGUCAGAGAAGAUUAUCACACUAUCGACUCCUCUCGGUAUUUUGUAAAUUUUGAAUUCGAUCUUAUGGCAUGUAUAGCGUAGAUGAAAUACUUGAAUUUAGAUUAUGUAAUAUUAAGCCAUGCGAAAAUGGCUUAAUUUUCUUGUUUGUGUUCGGUUUUGGGCUGAAUUAUGGUUUACGCAUACUUUAAUCAUGGAUUAAUAUUUUAUGGUUAGUAUUUAUAUGGUAAUAUAUAUAUGUGCAUGGUGAUUUCAUUCAAGUGUUUCGGUAAUUAUGUGGUUGAAGUAAGUAAGUUUGUUAUAUUCAUUAAGAUAAAUAAUGUUAAGUUAAGUGUCUAGGUUACGUAUUAUAUAUGAAAUAUAUAUGAUUUGGUUGGAUUUAGUAGUUAAGUGAAUAUAGGAGAUGAUUUAUAAAUUGAAGUAUGCUUGUAAAUGUUGGUGAUUAAUUACGUUUGGCGUAUUGAUAGAGUAAACGAAUGUAUAUAUAUUCAAAUGUGUAUUGAUUAGGAUUUAUGGCUUAGUAUAUAUAUAAUGGAUUAAUUUAUUUAUAAAAAAAAAUUGAAUUGAGUCGGGUUUUGAUCGGUAAUGCCUCGUAACACUAAUCCGGCGACGGACACGAGUCGGGGUGUUACAUUUGAUUGGUAUCAGAGCUACGGUUUAGUCGGUUCUAGGACUAACGUAGUGUGUGUGAGUCUAGCUAUACAUGCCAUAUUUAACCUACAAUAGUGUGAUAUCUCCCGACUCUGACGAAAAUUGUUUUGAUGAGACAGAUAUGUUUUCCAACCGAGCUAAUUUUGAUAGUACAG